Mycena floridula is the source of this 73-nucleotide non-coding RNA. NCBI's taxonomy places the organism in Eukaryota, Fungi, Basidiomycota, Agaricomycetes, Agaricales, Mycenaceae. The record is from the annotation of a GenBank genome assembly.
AACAUCAUGGCGCAGUGGUAGCGCGCGGGGGGCCCAUACCCCGAGGUCACUGGAUCGAUACUAGUUGAUACUA